This 484-nucleotide ribosomal RNA is filed under the name uncultured bacterium. RNAcentral's name for it is "partial 16S ribosomal RNA". It matches the Rfam family "Bacterial small subunit ribosomal RNA", at positions 28 to 507 of the family's 1533-position model. The record is from RNAcentral.
AUUGAACGCUGGCGGCAUGCUUUACACAUGCAAGUCGAACGGCAGCGCGGGCUUCGGCCUGGCGGCGAGUGGCGAACGGGUGAGUAAUGCAUCGGAACGUGCCCAGUCGUGGGGGAUAGCCCGGCGAAAGCCGGAUUAAUACCGCAUACGACCUGAGGGUGAAAGCGGGGGACCGAAAGGCCUCGCGCUAUUGGAGCGGCCGAUGUCGGAUUAGCUAGUUGGUGGGGUAAAGGCUUACCAAGGCGACGAUCCGUAGCUGGUCUGAGAGGACGACCAGCCACACUGGGACUGAGACACGGCCCAGACUCCUACGGGAGGCAGCAGUGGGGAAUUUUGGACAAUGGGGGCAACCCUGAUCCAGCCAUGCCGCGUGCGGGAAGAAGGCCUUCGGGUUGUAAAACGCUUUUGUUCGGGAAGAAAUCCUCUGGGCUAAUACCCCGGGGGGAUGACGGUACCGGAAGAAUAAGCACCGGCUAACUACGUG